Molecule: non-coding RNA, 1647 nt
Organism: Heterocephalus glaber (naked mole-rat)
Lineage: Eukaryota; Metazoa; Chordata; Mammalia; Rodentia; Bathyergidae
Source: RefSeq, a predicted model, not a curated record
UGUGGAAGGGGAUAUAUCAGGGGGUGCUGUGCUCAUUGCUGGAUUCAUCAUGGAUGAGUUCAGGGCUGAAUGUGCUGUAGGAGGUGGAGCCUGGUUGGAGCAGGUCUCUGGGGCAUGACCUGGAAGGAUGCAUUCUUGUUCCCAGCUCCUCCCUUCUCUCUCUGCUUCCUGGCCACCAUGAGGCAAGGAGCCUUUCCAUACCAGCCUCUUCCACCAUGAUGUUCCUGCUUUGGAGCCAGCUGACCAUGGACUGAACCCUCUGAAACUAAGUCUUGCUUCCAAGGGAGGAAUGAACCAGGAGGCACAGCACCAAUUCCAUGGCAUGGGAAGUGAGGGCUUCUACUUGGUCACUUGAGGAUCCUCAUAUCUCAGAACCAGCAGGUAAGGAAGGGACUUACUAUGCUGCUCCUGACCACCUGGGGAACUGGACAGUCGAGGUGAGGAGGAACAUGUCUGGAAUACAAGAGAUCUUGUCUAGAAGUGACUCACAAGGAGGAAAUGACCCUGCUUGACUUCUGAAACUUGGUCAUUCAAGGCCACCUGGCCCAUGGGAUGCUCACAUCUGGACUACAGCCGCCAUGUUGUGCGAAAACCAGGCCAGUGAGGUGCCCCAGCUGUUGGAUGACAUGUGGAUGACCAAACCUUCUAAUGCCCCCAGCCUUUGGGCCCGGGGCCUUCCGGCAGAAGCGCUGGGCACAGCGGAAAUGAGAUGACCUCACCUGCCAUGCCCUGCCCCUGUUCCUUGCACGUGGAAUCUGCAUCUGUGAGCAGAAUAAAUGGAUUUUUUUCUUUUGGCAGUACUGGGGAUGGGAACCAGGGCUUUCACACUGAGCUACGCCCUCAGCCAUUUUUAUUUUUCUUUCUGCACAGAGUUCACUAAAUUGCUAAGUUGCCUGAACUGGACUCGAGCUUGAGCCCCCCCCCCCACCUCAUCCUUCCGGAGUGCUGCGGUUACCAGCAUUUGCCACCAUACCCAGCAUAAAUGGAUGCUUUUAGCCACCAGAUUUUGAGCAAUUGGGUCAGAUGGGGCUUGUUGUCAAAGCACAGAAGUGAAGGAGUGGCACGGAUGCCGAGCUAUCAAAGGACUGUUGAAAGGGAAACACUACUAUGAAGUAUCCUGUCAUGACCAAGGGCUCUGCAGUGUCGGGUGGUCUACCAUGCAGACCUCCUUAGACCUUGGUACUGACAAGUUUGGAUUCGGCUUUGGUGGAACGGGAAAGAAAUCCCACAGUAAACAGUUUGAUAAUUAUGGAGAGGUGGGAACUACAAAGGCCACGUGGACAUCCUGGUCCCUACCAUCCAGGAGCUGGCUGCCCUGGAGAAGGAGGCCCAGACCUCCUUCCUGCACCUGGGCUACCUCCCCAACCAGCUCUUCAGGACCUUCUGAGCUGCGGCCCGAGUUGGCACACUGCAAGCGCACUGUGCAUCACACAAGCUCUGCAGGCCAGGAGCCGCCCGGUGAAAAUAAACCUGCCGGCUGCAUUCUCAUGGCGGCGUGUGUCUUAUUGCACAGUUACACUGACAUACUUUUUUCUUUUUUUCAGUUUUCAUUCGCACAUGUGGGUGGUACUUACACUUACACAUCCCGGGAGGUCGGUCCGUGUGUGUAACACAUCUUGACUCUUGUUUGUCCCUCCCCACAGCUCC